This 205-nucleotide ribosomal RNA is filed under the name Vibrio parahaemolyticus. RNAcentral's name for it is "partial 16S ribosomal RNA". It matches the Rfam family "Bacterial small subunit ribosomal RNA", at positions 1 to 189 of the family's 1533-position model. The record is from RNAcentral. Lineage: Bacteria; Pseudomonadati; Pseudomonadota; Gammaproteobacteria; Vibrionales; Vibrionaceae.
AAAUUGAAGAGUUUGAUCAUGGCUCAGAUUGAACGCUGGCGGCAGGCCUAACACAUGCAAGUCGAGCGGAAACGAGUUAUCAGAACCUUCGGGGGACGAUAACGGCGUCGAGCGGCGGACGGGUGAGUAAUGCCUAGGAAAUUGCCCUGAUGUGGGGGAUAACCAUUGGAAACGAUGGCUAAUACCGCAUGAUGCCUACGGGCCA